Molecule: small RNA, 126 nt
Filed under: Arabidopsis thaliana (thale cress)
Lineage: Eukaryota; Viridiplantae; Streptophyta; Magnoliopsida; Brassicales; Brassicaceae
Description: ATSL177910
Source: RNAcentral
AUAAAAAUUAACUCAUGUAUUGUUCGGAAAAAUUUAAUAAUGCAGGUAUUAAACGGACAAAUUAAAAAUAAACGGGGAUUUUUUCGGGUUUUUUCCCUUUUGGUUUGUGUAUUUAGUUGUAUAUUU